This is a long non-coding RNA of Homo sapiens (human), 993 nucleotides long. Ensembl annotates it as mir-100-let-7a-2-mir-125b-1 cluster host gene. Its record names the gene MIR100HG. The record is from Ensembl. NCBI's taxonomy places the organism in Eukaryota, Metazoa, Chordata, Mammalia, Primates, Hominidae.
GCCAUUGUCUCUGGUUCUUCGUUGCCUUUGAAUGGGACCCUUGAUACAAGGCUUUCAUAGACCAGCCGGUGCUGAUGGGGUCCGGGACUUGACGAUGGCGCCUGCUCGUUCCUGUUGUGUUCUAUCUGAGGCAUGAUUUUCUUUCGUUUUUGGGAGGUAGAGAGCACGGGGCAGAGGUUGCACCUGACACAUUAGAACUCCGUUGUCACUGCUGUGGCUGUUAUUCCCCUCGGCAAGAGCCAAGGAGCAAACAGGACGUGAAGAUCCCGGUGUUACACAUCCAAUCGUUCACCUCCUUCCAAGACUAUGACAUUCCAGGAAACCUUCACUGCUAAGAGGAACUAAGAUCUAGAGUAUCUCCUCGAGGAAGUACAACUGCAUUAUAAAUUAAGGAGGAAUAGUAACAAAGAGCUUGAAGACAUGCACAGCUCACAGGCCCCGGGUGGAGGCUGGCGACAUCAGACAGACAGAACCAAGACAUCUGAGGGGCAACCAGGAGGUGCGUGUGGCUGCAGAGCACACAGACUUGUCUUUGGACAAAAUUGAGAAGAACUCAUAAACUUGGCUUCCUCGCUUCUGCUCCUCAGACCCCUGCAAACAUGACUUACCUUGGAAACUAUAAGAAAGGAUGGCCUUAUGUGAGGACACUCAUCAUCCUGGCGUUAAUGUGCUUCUCUUCUAUUUGGCAUUUGAGUCCAACACUACCUGAUCUCAGUCCUUCUUUUUAGAAUCAAUAUUUCCAUAGCAAGUGUAGCAUCAUCUUAAAUGGGGAAUCCCACUUUUUUUUUUUAAAGCUAGAGAUGGCAGUUUGGUGGGAUUGGCCAAAAAUAAUUUGAAGAAAGAAUGCACUAAGGGUGAAAAUGUUAUGUUUAUAAAAAUAUUAUGAAAGCUAAAUGUGAUGCACUUGAAAAAUGUGGCAGGAUAUUUCACUGUAUAUUCAUGAAAUCUGUAUCUAAACUAUAUCAAUAAAUACUAUUCAAGAGAAUAUAAAAA